Molecule: long non-coding RNA, 1993 nt
Filed under: Rattus norvegicus (Norway rat)
Lineage: Eukaryota; Metazoa; Chordata; Mammalia; Rodentia; Muridae
Description: long non-coding RNA NONRATT028824
Source: RNAcentral
AUACAAUGAGCCCAAGAAGUCAAAAACCGGAAAGACGGCCACGAAUGGCAUCUCAGCGAACGGUGUGAACAAGUCAGAGAAGCAGCUUGUGUUAGAAAACGGGAAACCCCAGAAGAACGGGAAGCCAAAAGGAGAGUAAAUCGAACUGGGCCUUAACCGGUGACAGUGAGGAAACUCCUGUGUCAUUUAAAAGUUCAGGGGCAACAGAAGCAGAGGAUCUGGGGUGGGGAGAAAGGCAGAUAGGGUCUGUGCACCUUCAGACUGAGUAAACCUUUCAAUAUACGGUUCCUAGAUGUUUUAUUUAUGAAGUUUUUAUUUUAAACAUUUUUUUAUUAGCCUUCAUGUUGUCCAGACCAAAGCAAUCCCAACGUGACCUUGGAGCCUCUCCUCCUGUUCGCUCACCUGUGCAGUGGGUGGAAAUUUCACCUAUCUUCCAUUUACUCUUUCCUCAGUCUGAAUUUUAGAUGAUCACAGAACACAGUUUUAUGAAAAAAAUUUUUUUUCCCUAAAUCACUAGUUUCCUACUGGUUGCAAAUCAGUUACCUGACAUUUUCUUGUUCAGAGACAGAACAAGAAAAUACAUUCGAAUUUGGAUCCAUUUACUAACCCUUGUGGUCAAACCUCUCCUCCUCUAAGCCAGAAUAUUCCCUUUUGGCUGUAAUUAAAUUUGAAAGCUCUGAAAAAUCUCAGUAGAUUCAUAAAGGCUUGAUGAUGAUGAUGAUGAUGAUGAUGAUGAUGACGACGACGACGACGAUGUUGAUGGUGAUGAUGGUGCUGUUGGUAAAGAUAAGAAAGAAUAGUAGUAAAAUCUUUGUGACCCAAAGGCCACCAUGACUUAUGGCACAAAUCACUGUGGGAAACAAUAUAUCUCUCUCUAUUUUUUUGUAAUGAGGAAGGUAACCUUUGAAUACUAUUAUUAGCAGGAAUGUAUCAUGCGAAUUAAGAUUAUUGUAUGAUUGAAAUAUGGAAGAACUCAUGUCUUUGUUAGUAACAUCUAAGGUAGUCACAUUUACACGCACUUAGAACUCUGAGGGUGGAUUGAUUUAUUUUUAUCAGGGCUUUCCUUGUUUUGAUUUGUGGCUGUUGCUGAUUUUUUUUUUCAUACGUGGACAUUCACCUACCUCUUCUGUUGGAAAGAACAUUUAAAAUGAAAUAAAUUUUACUUAAAAAAAUCAAGGAGUCCUCUAAUGUAGAUUUUGAUUUUCAAAUUUACUUCAAAUUUACUUUUUAUUUUGUUUUAUUUUCAAAUAGCUCAAACAUUUCCGUGAUGUUAUCCAUCUCUUUCAGUGUGUCUAAUUCUGAGUAAUGCUGACUUCCCCUGUGACUAUGUUGCAAAAAAAAAAAAAAUCUUCCUUAUUAACUAGAAAAGUGUAAAUGCAUUUUGGUGCAAUAUCUCGACUCCUUGGUGCUAAUGGUCACUAAAUUCAGUGCUUGCCCUUACAAGGUGUUACUUAUUAAUACAAGAUGAGAAAAAUUGAGACCAAGUUGGAUCUCUCAAGUCAAAUGUGGUGUUUACAAGAUAUGUCUCAUGUAAUCGAAAUGGAGGACUGGAAGACUGCAGAAGAGACGUUGUUCCACAUUUUGUUUUUACACAGAUUAAUUUGUUAUGGGACGUCACAGAGGGAUCACAUGGAAAGAGAAACUGUGACAAAAAAAAUAGCAUGAAUAUUUCUAAAUCUUCCAACCUGUCAAAACCGCAUGUGUAGGAUGUCUGCUGUUUGUACAGACUUUCAGGACAUUUUGUAAUUAUAAAAUAUUUAUUGUGCGUUGAGAUUACGUUUUCCCCAAAGGCAUGCAGUCACAAACAUUACAGAAAUUAGCAGCACAUGAAAUAGUACGGUCUAAGAGGAUCACCACGUUGUCUUUCGCCAGUGUGUAAUGACUAGAGAUGUGUAGAUCUUUGCGAACAUUCUGUUCUGGCUUCCCACACCCCUUCAUUCCCUGCUAUCAGAUUUCAGCACAAUAAAUAUACUACUGCUGUGGGAAAAGUGAA